Molecule: ribosomal RNA, 467 nt
Filed under: uncultured bacterium
Lineage: Bacteria
Description: partial 16S ribosomal RNA
Rfam family: Bacterial small subunit ribosomal RNA
Source: RNAcentral
GACGAACGCUGGCGGCGUGCUUGACACAUGCAAGUCGAACGGAAAGGCUCCAGCUUGCUGGAGUACUCGAGUGGCGAACGGGUGAGUAACACGUGGGUAAUCUGCCCUGCACUCUGGGAUAAGCCUGGGAAACUGGGUCUAAUACUGGAUAUGACCUUUCUCCUUAUGGGGUUUGGUGGAAAGUUUUUCGGUGUAGGAUGAGCCCGCGGCCUAUCAGCUUGUUGGUGGGGUGAUGGCCUACCAAGGCGACGACGGGUAGCCGGCCUGAGAGGGUGAUCGGCCACAUUGGGACUGAGAUACGGCCCAGACUCCUACGGGAGGCAGCAGUGGGGAAUAUUGCACAAUGGGCGGAAGCCUGAUGCAGCGACGCCGCGUGAGGGAUGACGGCCUUCGGGUUGUAAACCUCUUUCAGCAGGGACGAAGCGUAAGUGACGGUACCUGCAGAAGAAGCACCGGCUAACUAUGUG